GCACUGUUAAUUUGCUGUGUAAACUGCUAUAUGUUCCUCGUCGGCUUGCCGACUAUGGCGAUAAACGGGCUUCGCAAUAAACCCAUCGGACCCGGGGGCAGUACCCGGCGCCUCCACCAAUUCUUUCAUGUUUCGGGGGCGAACCAGGAUCGACGAGGGCGUAAAGGAUGUUUCCGUCGCUCGGCAUGGUACCAUCGUUAUCGGGCCAUUUUUAUAGUUGCAAAUGACAACUAUGCGGAAGUAGCUGUCGCUGCGUAAGCAGUCACACGACUUCAUUUCAAGUCCACCGCCUUCGCCGGCGGCGGCGGGGUUCGGAAGGCACCUGGCAACAGAAGCCUUCCACU
This 344-nucleotide transfer-messenger RNA is filed under the name Rhodobiaceae bacterium. It matches the Rfam family "Alphaproteobacteria transfer-messenger RNA". Rfam says of the family: Bacterial tmRNA, also known as 10Sa RNA or SsrA, is named for its dual tRNA and mRNA-like properties. Lineage: Bacteria; Pseudomonadati; Pseudomonadota; Alphaproteobacteria; Hyphomicrobiales; Rhodobiaceae. The record is from RNAcentral.